CUCUUACUUCUCCCUCCAGAAAAACAAGAACUUUCCAAGCACCAGGUGGCAGGUAGGAGCCUGUCUCUUCUGUUUGGACAUCUAACAGGACUCUUUAUCAGUCUGCCCCAACUCAGGCCCAAGGAAAAAGUUUACCUUUGGGAGAAGAAUGCAGGGAAGAACAAGAGAGCAGAAGCCUGACAGCCAGACAACCCUGUCCUAAGGAGCAAGCUCUCCCACUGGGCCUCAGAUUUAAUCAAAACACUGCCUUCCACCAGAAGUAGACAGAACAAGUAUUAUUUUAUGGGGGAAGGGAGCAUGUCUCUGGAGUGUGAUGGGGAGCCCUGGCCGGGUCUGGCUGUAAUUAACUAGCGUGCUUCAAAGGGCAGGGAGUGGGGGGAUCAAGAUGGCCUGAUAAAUUAAGAAGGGGGUUAUCAUAAAGUCUCCCUGUCCGAGACAGCAGGGCCGACCGGAGGCUGGAGACCCUGGGUCUCCUUUCAGCUGGCCUGACAGGCGGACCCCCUGCAGCGCCAGGCAGGAGAAACAGCACGGAUCCGUGCGGACCGCUCUAGGGGGUAGAGCAUUUCAACCCGAAAAGCACGCGUUGGCGGGGGGGUUCCCGGUGCCGCUCUGGUACAAAAGGCUGCCGAGCUGGGAAACCUGGCAGGGAGGGUGGAGCAUUCAGAAGGAUAUACAUGUACUCAUUCUGAGAGCUGCAGUUUGGAACCGAAACCAAGAAUGCUCGAGCCUCUUUCCAGCUCUAGACCUCAGUUCCUAGCCACAUCCAGAGUGUGCGUGUGUGUGUGUGUGUGUGUGUGUGUGUGUGUACGGCGGAGGGACGCCGGGAGAGGCCAGGGUAAAUGUUCUUUCAAGCAAGCGACAGCCCCGACUCUCCCACUUUACUCGGAGCCGGAAGGACUGGCUGGAUCUCUCUUCCUUGGGCAAGACGGAGAAACUGAGGCCCCGGAAAGGUCUCACAGAUUGGGCUGGAUGCCAGUUCUCGAAUCUGGCGGCACAUAA
This 999-nucleotide long non-coding RNA is filed under the name Fukomys damarensis (Damara mole-rat). RNAcentral's name for it is "lncRNA (ENSFDAG00000028533.1)". Lineage: Eukaryota; Metazoa; Chordata; Mammalia; Rodentia; Bathyergidae. The record is from RNAcentral.